Molecule: ribosomal RNA, 483 nt
Filed under: uncultured bacterium
Lineage: Bacteria
Description: partial 16S ribosomal RNA
Rfam family: Bacterial small subunit ribosomal RNA
Source: RNAcentral
GAUGAACGCUGGCGGCGUGCUUAACACAUGCAAGUCGAACGGUGAAGCAGAGCUUGCUCUGUGGAUCAGUGGCGAACGGGUGAGUAACACGUGAGCAACCUGCCCCGGACUCUGGGAUAAGCGCUGGAAACGGCGUCUAAUACCGGAUACGACAUUCCACCGCAUGGUGAGUUUCUGGAAAGAUUUUUUGGUCUGGGAUGGGCUCACGGACUAGCAGCUUGUUGGUGAGGUAAUGGCUCACCAAGGCGUCGACGGGUAGCCGGCCUGAGAGCGUGACCGGCCACACUGGGACUGCGACACGGCCCAGACUCCUACGGGAGGCAGCAGUGGGGAAUAUUGCACAAUGGGCGGAAGCCUGAUGCAGCAACGCCGCGUGAGGGAUGACGGCCUUCGGGUUGUAAACCUCUUUUAGCAGGGAAGAAGCGAAAGUGACGGUACCUGCAGAAAAAGCGCCGGCUAACUACGUGCCAGCAGCCGCCGUAA